CCUUUCGUCCCCGGCGUCCGGGCGCCCUGCAUGGAUCCCCCACCCCAGCUCCUGCUCCCCGGCGGCGGCCGACUUCCUAGCAUGGGCUGUUGUGCUGGAGAGAACGAGAGCUACGAAGAGACUACAGUGCCUCUGACUUUUUCAUAGGACAGUUGGCCGAGGAAGACAAACAUAAAGAUGAAGUGCUUAAUUCAAGGUCACACAAUGUCGGGGAUGGACCUCCAGAUUUCCUUACUGACCUGCAUUAUCUUGUGGAUACCUGAGUGAAUUCCACACCACCCAUUUUAUAGAUGAAACCACUGAGACAUGGAGCAAUUGACUGAGUAGUCACUGCCCCACCCCUGCCUGGAGCCUCACACAUGACUCGCCUCCUCUCAGUGACCACAGGUUGGUUGAGGGGUUUAACAAGGCUAAGAAGGUGAGACGUGGUCUUGUAACACAGUGGUUAAGAAUGUGACUUUGGAGCCAGCCUGCUAGGGGCUGAAUUCUGACUCAGCCAUUUACUAACUGUGUGACCUUAGGGAGGAGGACCUGGUUGAUAGAAGAAUUUAUCUCGUAGUCUUAACAUCCACUGUAAUUCCAAACUUUGAGGACGAUAGAGAUCAGUGGGCUUUGACUGCCCAGCAUGCAGUCUCCAUUCUUAGGUCACAGAAUUUUCCACACUCCUUGACAGAGGUGCUUAACCCUUAUCCAUCAGCAUUCUCAGACAGCACCUCCGGUUAGGGACAGUAUCUGACCGUCCGACAUCCCUGCAGCCCCCAUGUGUCACACAGACUCAGCCUCAGGUAGAUGGUUUCCGUAGAUGGUGGCUUUCUUUGGACCCUUGACAUCAACCAGUUACUAUUUGGUCUAGGGGUCUCACCAACGCUGCUCAUCUAGCAGGGCCACACAUAACAAAUAGAAGCAGAGCAAGCCCUGGAACUCCUGCCUGACAGUGACACGACGACAGAAACAUCUUACCAGUCAGAGGACCAUGAGAAAUAGAUUCAAGGAGCAUUCCACGUGCAAGUGAGUCUUGGCCCCAUCUGCCUUUGGAUUUUAGCCGUGAACUGGAAGGUAUUGGAAAGAAGACCCUCAGAAAUAGCUUAAUCAAAAUCCCUGCGUCUGAACCAAGUGCCUUAUUUCUCUGUGGGCCUCAAGCUUCGCUGACAUCUGUGGAGCACACUGUCCUAACAGGAGUGCUGUCUGAUUUCCCAACGCUCUGCAAAACAAACAGCCUGGAAGGGUGGCUGGUGGAAGGUGGUUUUUAGAGAGAGACUUGUAGAUAACAGGAAAGUGAAGGCUGUAAGGAAGGUUGUAAUUAAACAGCACAUGGAAACACAAUCACAUUAUUGUCCCAUUCCAUAGGGAUAAUGAUGACCACUUCAGUGGGAAAAGGAGAGGUUUUAAGUCAUUAGGGACUAUGGGCCACCUUUUAGGAAGAUUUAUUUUCAAAGGUUAAAAUAGUGUUUUGGCAAUUCAAGUUUCAUUUUCAGAAAAUGUAAUUGAUGGGAACCUCAGUGACUCUGGAUGAAUAAGAUGCUGUUGAGUGGCUCUGACUUGGGCCAGCCGUGCUUCUCACAGGACCUUGGAGACCAAGGUCACUGUGAUCUCAGGUUCAGGGGGCAAGUCCUCUCCACACAGCCCUAGUUGGCCUCACAGCUGAAAAUGUCUCCCUUACUGUUGGACUCCUUUGUUCACCCACAUGAGUUUGUGAAUAAAUCCUUUCCAGUCUGAAA
Molecule: long non-coding RNA, 1718 nt
Organism: Homo sapiens (human)
Lineage: Eukaryota; Metazoa; Chordata; Mammalia; Primates; Hominidae
Gene: PCBP1-AS1
Product: PCBP1 antisense RNA 1
Source: Ensembl